GUUCCGGUGACCUUGUGGUUAGAAUGUCCGCCUCGGAUGCGGGAGGUCGCGGGUUCAAACCCCAACCGAGUCA
Molecule: non-coding RNA, 73 nt
Organism: Potamilus streckersoni
Lineage: Eukaryota; Metazoa; Mollusca; Bivalvia; Unionida; Unionidae
Source: the annotation of a GenBank genome assembly